GGUCAAGUUAUUAAGGGUGCAGGGCGGAUGCCUUGGCACUAGGAGCCGAUGAAGGACGUGAUAAGCUGCGAUAAGCUUCGGGGAGUUGCACGUAAACUUUGAUCCGAAGAUUUCCGAAUGAGGAAACUCACUUAGAGUAAUGUCUAAGUAUCAUUAAGUGAAUACAUAGCUUAAUGAGGGGAACUCAGGGAACUGAAACAUCUAAGUACCUGAAGGAAGAGAAAGAAAUUCGAUUCCGUAAGUAGCGGCGAGCGAACGCGGAUUAGCCCAAACCAAUAAAGUUUUCUUUAUUGGGGUUGCGGACAUAUCAUAACGAAGAGGUAUCGUAAUUGAAGAGGUUUGGAAAGACCCACCACAGAAGGUAAUAGUCCUGUAUGUUAAACGAGAAGACUUCAGAUAUGAUCCAGAGU
This 410-nucleotide ribosomal RNA is filed under the name Clostridioides difficile. RNAcentral describes it as "partial 23S ribosomal RNA". It matches the Rfam family "Bacterial large subunit ribosomal RNA", at positions 1 to 413 of the family's 2925-position model. The record is from RNAcentral. Lineage: Bacteria; Bacillati; Bacillota; Clostridia; Peptostreptococcales; Peptostreptococcaceae.